ACGGAAGGCAGCAGUGGGGAAUAUUGCACAAUGGGGGGAACCCUGAUGCAGCGAUGCCGCGUGAGUGAAGAAGUAUUUCGGUAUGUAAAGCUCUAUCAGCAGGGAAGAAGAUGACGGUACCUGACUAAGAAGCACCGGCUAAAUACGUGCCAGCAGCCGCGGUAAUACGUAUGGUGCAAGCGUUAUCCGGAUUUACUGGGUGUAAAGGGAGCGCAGGUGGCGAUGCAAGCCAGAAGUGAAAGCCCGGGGCUCAACCCCGGUACUGCUUUUGGAACUGUGUUGCUGGAGUGCAGGAGGGGCAGGCGGAAUUCCUGGUGUAGCGGUGAAAUGCGUAGAUAUCAGGAGGAACACCGGUGGCGAAGGCGGCCUGCUGGACUGUAACUGACACUGAGGCUCGAAAGCGUGGGGAGCAAACAGGAUUAGAUACCCUGGUA
This 434-nucleotide ribosomal RNA is filed under the name uncultured Lachnospiraceae bacterium. RNAcentral describes it as "bacterial SSU rRNA". It matches the Rfam family "Bacterial small subunit ribosomal RNA", at positions 341 to 792 of the family's 1533-position model. The record is from RNAcentral. Lineage: Bacteria; Bacillati; Bacillota; Clostridia; Lachnospirales; Lachnospiraceae.